Molecule: small RNA, 1249 nt
Filed under: Pan troglodytes (chimpanzee)
Lineage: Eukaryota; Metazoa; Chordata; Mammalia; Primates; Hominidae
Description: processed transcript
Source: RNAcentral
CUCCUCUGCUCCUCGCAGAAGGCCAGGGCGGCGCCGCCGCAAGUUUGACAUUUUGGCAGCGGAGACGCGCGCGGGCACUCUCGGGCCGACGGCUGCGGCGGCGGCCGACCCUCCAGAGCCCCUUAGUCGCGCCCCGGCGCUCCCGCUGCCCGGAGUCCGGCGGCCACGAGGCCCAGCCGCGUCCUCCCGCGCUUGCUCGCCCGGCGGCCGCAGCCAUGUCCCGGGGGCCCGAGGAGGUGAACCGGCUCACGGAGAGCACCUACCGGAAUGUUAUGGAACAGUUCAAUCCUGGGCUGCGAAAUUUAAUAAACCUGGGGAAAAAUUAUGAGAAAGCUGUAAACGCUAUGAUCCUGGCAGGAAAAGCCUACUACGAUGGAGUGGCCAAGAUCGGUGAGAUUGCCACUGGGUCCCCCGUGUCGACCGAACUGGGACAUGUCCUCAUAGAGAUUUCAAGUACCCACAAGAAACUCAACGAGAGUCUUGAUGAAAAUUUUAAAAAAUUCCACAAAGAGAUUAUCCAUGAGCUGGAGAAGAAGAUAGAACUUGACGUGAAAUAUAUGAAUGCAACUCUAAAAAGAUACCAAACAGAACACAAGAAUAAAUUAGAGUCUUUGGAGAAAUCCCAAGCUGAGUUGAAGAAGAUCAGAAGGAAAAGCCAAGGAAGCCGAAACGCACUCAAAUAUGAACACAAAGAAGUUGAGUAUGUGGAGACCGUUACUUCUCGUCAGAGUGAAAUCCAGAAAUUCAUUGCAGAUGGUUGCAAAGAGGCUCUGCUUGAAGAGAAGAGGCGCUUCUGCUUUCUGGUUGAUAAGCACUGUGGCUUUGCAAACCACAUACAUUAUUAUCACUUACAGUCUGCAGAACUACUGAAUUCCAAGCUGCCUCGGUGGCAGGAGACCUGUGUUGAUGCCAUCAAAGUGCCAGAGAAAAUCAUGAAUAUGAUUGAAGAAAUAAAGACCCCAGCCUCUACCCCCGUGUCCGGAACUCCUCAGGCUUCACCCAUGAUCGAGAGAAGCAAUGUGGUUAGGAAAGAUUACGACACCCUUUCUAAAUGCUCACCAAAGAUGCCCCCUGCUCCUUCAGGCAGAGCAUAUACCAGUCCCUUGAUCGAUAUGUUUAAUAACCCAGCCAUGGCUGCCCCGAAUUCACAAAGGGUAAAUAAUUCAACAGGCCUGGGGGUGAGAAGCUGAGCGGCCAGCAUGGCAAGACCGACUGCAUUUCCAGCUUUCUUCUUUUCUUUGUGGACAUU